This 253-nucleotide ribosomal RNA is filed under the name uncultured bacterium. Its description in RNAcentral is "partial 16S ribosomal RNA". It matches the Rfam family "Bacterial small subunit ribosomal RNA", at positions 524 to 776 of the family's 1533-position model. The record is from RNAcentral.
UACGAAGGGGGCAAGCGUUGUUCGGAAUUACUGGGCGUAAAGGGCGCGUAGGCGGCUUAUCAAGUCAGGCGUGAAAUUCCCGGGCUCAACCUGGGGGCUGCGCUUGAUACUGAAGAUCUUGAGUUCGGGAGAGGUGAGUGGAACUGCGAGUGUAGAGGUGAAAUUCGUAGAUAUUCGCAAGAACACCAGUGGCGAAGGCGGCUCACUGGCCCGGUACUGACGCUGAGGCACGAAAGCGUGGGGAGCAAACAGG